Molecule: long non-coding RNA, 882 nt
Organism: Stomoxys calcitrans (stable fly)
Lineage: Eukaryota; Metazoa; Arthropoda; Insecta; Diptera; Muscidae
Exons: 3
Source: RefSeq, a predicted model, not a curated record
AAAUCGACCAAGUAUACGCAUAAUAUAGAAUAACUUUGAAAUAUCAAUAAUAAACAUUUUCAAGAUUUACCAGAGAGCAUGAAUAAAUAUCUUCUAGAUUGGUGUUUCCUGGAGAUACGAGAACCUCUGUGGAAGAGCAUGAAUCGUCUUCGGAUUAUGAUGUAAAGCUAAGGAACAAAACAAGAUUACAAUGCAAUUUAAUAUGCAUAUCAGUUGCCACAAAACAUAAUUUACAAUCAAUCGACACCGUCCUUGUCUAAACUACGGAGGAGGAGAGGGGCUGGAAUGCCGCACUACUGUGCAAUUGGUUUUAUGCUUCCUGUAAACAACUCAUCCAUAACUGAGAAAGAUAUUAACGGUGGCUAAGGAUAAUGCAGGAUGGUGUAAUGGAAUUCGAAACUUAUCAAAAUGCUUCCUCGUUCGAUUGCACAUAGUACCGCCGCAAAGGUUGAGCACUGAAUAUGCCGGUCGCUUUCCACAGCAUGUGCCCAUAUAGAAAUGAAGACAAAUGUUAACAUAAAUGCGUAAUGCCAUAGCAUCGCCAUGGCCCAUUCACUCUAUGAGUCUGUCCUGCUUUGGUUGACGUGGAAACUGGUUUUAUCUUACCUAGCCGACUCUUAGCAGGCGGGGCUGUGGCAGAAGGUGGUUUACUUGUAUGUGGUCGGUUCAGAUAUCGGCCAGCUUGAAAUUGUUGAAUAAUAAAUAAGAGUACGUGAAAUGAAAAUGGAAAGUUAAAUUUAUGACUUUGUCGAAGAUGAUGUUGCUGCAAACCGAAGCCAUAUACACCAACAGCGCCAUUGCCGAUAUAAGCUAGCUCGACAAGGAGUAUCUGUGUGUGAAUUUCUUCGCAUGUUAACUUCGUAGCGAAGGGAGGUGGAAACU